UGAACUUCCAUUUUAUUUUGCAAGCAUGAA
Molecule: non-coding RNA, 30 nt
Filed under: Rattus norvegicus (Norway rat)
Lineage: Eukaryota; Metazoa; Chordata; Mammalia; Rodentia; Muridae
Source: RNAcentral